This is a long non-coding RNA of Pongo pygmaeus (Bornean orangutan), 2749 nucleotides long. RefSeq lists it as uncharacterized. The record is from RefSeq and is a predicted model, not a curated record. The transcript has 3 exons. Lineage: Eukaryota; Metazoa; Chordata; Mammalia; Primates; Hominidae.
CGUCGGUGUACUCGGCCUCCGAAGGCGGCUUGGCCCGCAGCGUCAGCAGGCCCUCUGAGGGGUGCAGACGGGCGCGGCGACGGGGACGCGGGGCCAGCACCAGGCAGGCAGAGAGAGAGGUGGACACCCGGUUAAGAUGGCGGUGAGGCUGGUGUUGUAGACUGAGGCACAAGGAGGUGAAACCGGCUUCCCAGAGACCCUGCCAACUUCUUCCCUCUCACCUGAGCGCCGCCGCCCUGCGCUCCCCGCGGCCCGAGCGGUAAUUGUGCAGAGCCCCCUGGAUGUCCUCUCGGAUCAGCUCCGCCUGCCAAUCACACCGUCAGGCCACGCCGCACCCACUUCCUACCCGGUCCUCGCCCCUGGCCGAUUUUUCAGCUCAGUCCCAGCCCACGUGCGGCCACCGUUCACGCCUGUGAACCCACGCACGUCCACGCCCUGGACUCACCCCUCGCCCUACACCGGUCCCUGCCCUAAGCCACGACCCCGCCCAUGGAGACCCAGUCCGGGUGGUUCCUCGCCCCCAUCCUCGUCCUGGCUGCUCCCCCAGACCCUUCUUGGCCAUGUUCUGUCCAUGUCCUCAUCCCACCUUCACGUUCUGUCUUGACCCUGGGUCCAAUCUCAAACCCCACUGCCUUCCAGAACUUCCUUCCCAGGUCCCCUGCCCUUCCUUGCUCUGAUCCCGCCUUAGUCCCAGGCCCCGCCCCACCUAGAGGCCCCACCCAUGUCCGCCCCGGCUCCAGGCUCCGCCCAGUUCCAGCUCCACCCCCAGAGCCAGCCUGUCCGCUCACCCCGAGGCGCAGGCCCUGGAAGAAGUGCACGUCUGGCUGCGCGCGCUCGGGUUCCUGGCACACGAGCAGCAGCAACGAGCGGCUCCUGCCGGGUGGCAUCACGGCGUCACAGCGCACGAUGGCGCCCAGUGGGUACGACUCCAGCUCCUCCUGCCGGGUGGGAUGGCGGGGUAAACUGAGGCCCCGAAAUGAUGGUACUACUAAAUGGCGACGGGAGUGUGAGCCAGCAGGCCAGGGCAACCUCAUGCGGUUAGGGGGUUAGGGAUAACACCCCUGUUUAAUAGGUAAGGCUAUUAAGGCUCAAGAAGGAGGCUGGGGUUCCCAGAGGAAGGACGUGCAGGAGCCAAGAUUCACACCCAGACCCCCUGAAGUCCCUGCCCCAGACACUCCUCCCACCCACGUGCCCCCUGGCACCUUGGAGGCCGGGUCGAGCAGCGUGACAUGGUCGGGAGACACUCGCAGCAGCAUCUCCUGUGCCCAGACUCGGCCCUGGCUAUCCAUGACGGCCAGCUUCCUGGAGGCAUCCUCCACGGUGUGCACGCCAUCGUCCUCACCCAGGCAGAACGUCACCAGGUGCUGGUACGGACCACGGAGAAAGCAGUGAGGCCCAAGAUGAUGCCAGGUGGGCUCAGAAUCCCCCGGAAUAAUCAGACUUUCAGCCUGAGACUAACCACACCUCCUCCAGGAAGCCUUCCUUGAUCACCUGUUCCACAAAUCAGCUCCUCCUCCCAGUGCCCUCUGUUUCCCUUUCAUCAGAGUGACUAGCACCUGAGUCUGGCUUCUCACAUACUGGAGGCUCCUUGCCGGCAGGGAAGGAGUCUGGAUUAUAGCUCUCUCCUUCUAAAUGCCUCCUCGGGUCUCCCGCUGUGCCCCCUGCCACCUCCAUUAGAGCACCAGGCACCUCCGUGUGUUCCUCUGGACCUUGUCUACCCCCUCCUCAUGCAGGGCUGUGUCUUGAUUUGUCUCCAUGGUCCCACUGUCCAGCACAACAGCUGGCCGGGAGGAAAGGCUGGCAGAUUUGAGAGGACCCGAGGCCCCUGACUUCAUAUCCAUGACUGAGGUGAGGCAACGGAGGUCCAUUUUAUGGAUGGGCAAACUGACUUUCCACAUGCUUCCUGCUUGGGGGCCCAGCUGCUUUCAAAAGCCCUAUCUCCUGAGGCCACCUUUGCCCCAGAAGAUGUCCUGGGGGAACACAGAUCCCAGACUCACAUUGACUGGGUACUGGGAUACAUCAGCCAUAACAACUGUGGAGUAACGCUUCCUCUGCUCUGCGAGGGGAGAAAGAGAAUGAGCCUGGGAGUCCAGGCCCAGCCCCUCCUCCAUCAGACUCAGGAGUCCAGGCCCCCAGCCCCUUCUCCCUCAGACCUAGGAGUCCAGCCCCCCAGCCCCUCUUCCCUCUGACCCAGGAGUCCAGACCUCCAGCCCUUCCUCCUCCCUCAGACCCAGGAGUCCAGGCCCCCAGCCCCUCCUCCCUCAGACCCAGGAGUCCAGGCCCCCAGCCCCUCCUCCCUCGGACCCAGGAGUCCAGGCCCCAGCCCCUCCUCCUCCAAGACCCUGGAUGCCAGGUCCUGUUUCUUUAGACCCAGUUCUAUGGGCCUGGGGCUCCCUUGACCCCACUCACCAUAGAUAGACUUGGCGCUUGGCUUCGGGGCAGCUUCUGGGCUGGUGAAGAAAAGAGGAAUGAGAGAGACUGUGGAAUUGGGGGCAGAUCCUAUGGAAAUGCCAAGCAGGGCAGCAAGGGAUCAUUACAAAGGUUACCUUUCCUAAGAAUUCUUGAAUCCCCACUCGCCGGCACAUAACAGAAGCUCAGCGAUCAGGUGGCGUCAGGGGAACUGAAAAAGCCUUUUUCCCAAACUCCUGUUCCUCAUCCCACUCCUGCCAGUCUGAUGUCACCACAAUUUGAUUACCUCUGGGCCAGAGAGCUCACUACCUACCAUGCAGGUAUUUUGACUCAUCUCUCA